UAUCCUGUCUGAAUAUGGGGGGACCAUCCUCCAAGGCUAAAUACUCCUGACUGACCGAUAGUGAACCAGUACCGUGAGGGAAAGGCGAAAAGAACCCCGGCGAGGGGAGUGAAAAAGAACCUGAAACCGUGUACGUACAAGCAGUGGGAGCACAGGUUUACCUGUGUGACUGCGUACCUUUUGUAUAAUGGGUCAGCGACUUAUAUUCUGUAGCAAGGUUAACCGAAUAGGGGAGCCGCAGGGAAACCGAGUCUUAACCGGGCGUUAAGUUGCAGGGUAUAGACCCGAAACCCGGUGAUCUAGCCAUGGGCAGGUUGAAGGUUGGGUAACACUAACUGGAGGACCGAACCGACUAAUGUUGAAAAAUUAGCGGAUGACCUGUGGCUGGGGGUGAAAGGCCAAUCAAACCGGGAGAUAGCUGGUUCUCCCCGAAAGCUAUUUAGGUAGCGCCUCGUGAACUCAUCUCCGGGGGUAGAGCACUGUUUCGGCUAGGGGGUCAUCCCGACUUACCAACCCGAUGCAAACUGCGAAUACCGGAGAAUGUUAUCACGGGAGACACACGGCGGGUGCUAACGUCCGUCGUGAAGAGGGAAACAACCCAGACCGCCAGCUAAGGUCCCAAAGUCAUGGUUAAGUGGGAAACGAUGUGGGAAGGCCCAGACAGCCAGGAUGUUGGCUUAGAAGCAGCCAUCAUUUAAAGAAAGCGUAAUAGCUCACUGGUCGAGUCGGCCUGCGCGGAAGAUGUAACGGGGCUAAACCAUGCACCGAAGCUGCGGCAGCGAC
RNAcentral lists this ribosomal RNA (783 nucleotides) under Salmonella enterica subsp. enterica serovar Legon. RNAcentral describes it as "bacterial LSU rRNA". It matches the Rfam family "Bacterial large subunit ribosomal RNA", at positions 430 to 1212 of the family's 2925-position model. The record is from RNAcentral. Lineage: Bacteria; Pseudomonadati; Pseudomonadota; Gammaproteobacteria; Enterobacterales; Enterobacteriaceae.